RNAcentral lists this ribosomal RNA (300 nucleotides) under uncultured Salinicoccus sp. RNAcentral describes it as "bacterial SSU rRNA". It matches the Rfam family "Bacterial small subunit ribosomal RNA", at positions 497 to 795 of the family's 1533-position model. Lineage: Bacteria; Bacillati; Bacillota; Bacilli; Caryophanales; Staphylococcaceae. The record is from RNAcentral.
CUAACUCCUGGCGAGGAGCCGGGGGCUGGCGGAUGGGCACAGGGUUAUCCGGAAUUACGUGGCGGAAAGAGUUGCGUAGGUGGCAGGGUAAGUAGAUAGUGAAAGCGUGUGGCUCAACCAUACAUCCAUUAUCUAAACUGCUCAGCUAGAGGACGAGAGAGGUUAUUGGAAUUCCCAGUGUAGGAGUGAAAUCCGUAGAUAUUGGGAGGAACACCGAUGGCGUAGGCAGAUAACUGGCUCGUUCCUGACACUAAGGCACGAAAGCGUGGGGAGCAAACGGGAUUAGAUACCCUGGUAGUC